Non-coding RNA from Spirochaetes bacterium DG_61, 391 nucleotides. Lineage: Bacteria; Pseudomonadati; Spirochaetota. The record is from Rfam.
AUCACGGAGAGUUUGAUCCUGGCUCAGAACGAACGCUGGCGGCGUGUCUUAAGCAUGCAAGUCGAACGGGAACCUAGAGCUUGCUUUAGGGGACAGUGGCGAACGGGUGAGUAACACGUGGGUAAUCUGCCCUCGGAUGGGGGAUAGCCCUAGGAAACUAGGGAUAAUACCGCAUAAUGCCGACCUGUCAUAAGACAGGGUGGUUAAAGGUGCCCUCUGCAUAUGGUGCCGUCUGAGGAUGAGCCCGCGGCCUAUUAGCUUGUUGGUAGGGUAAUAGCCUACCAAGGCGACGAUGGGUAGCCGGCCUGAGAGGGUGUACGGCCACAUUGGGACUGAGAUACGGCCCAGACUCCUACGGGAGGCAGCAGCUAAGAAUAUUCCGCAAUGGGCG